CCUACGGGCGGCAGCAGUGGGGAAUAUUGGACAAUGGGGGGAACCCUGAUCCAGCCAUGCCGCGUGUGUGAAGAAGGCCCUCGGGUUGUAAAGCACUUUCAGUGAGGAAGAACGCCUGGUGGUUAAUACCCAUCAGGAAAGACAUCACUCACAGAAGAAGCACCGGCUAACUCCGUGCCAGCAGCCGCGGUAAUACGGAGGGUGCGAGCGUUAAUCGGAAUUACUGGGCGUAAAGCGCGCGUAGGUGGCUUGAUAAGCCGGUUGUGAAAGCCCCGGGCUCAACCUGGGAACGGCAUCCGGAUCUGUCAAGCUAGAGUGCAGGAGAGGAAGGUAGAAUUCCCGGUGUAGCGGUGAAAUGCGUAGAGAUCGGGAGGAAUACCAGUGGCGAAGGCGGCCUUCUGGACUGACACUGACACUGAGGUGCGAAAGCGUGGGUAGCAAACAGGAUUAGAUACCCUUGUAGUC
This 465-nucleotide ribosomal RNA is filed under the name Vreelandella stevensii. RNAcentral's name for it is "partial 16S ribosomal RNA". It matches the Rfam family "Bacterial small subunit ribosomal RNA", at positions 338 to 795 of the family's 1533-position model. The record is from RNAcentral. Lineage: Bacteria; Pseudomonadati; Pseudomonadota; Gammaproteobacteria; Oceanospirillales; Halomonadaceae.